CAUGGUCCUCCCGUAAGGGACAUCAGUACAGGUGGUGCAUGGCUGUCGUCAGCUCGUGUCGUGAGAUGUUGGGUUAAGUCCCGCAACGAGCGCAACCCUUAUUCUUAGUUGUUUCCCUUUGGGGAUUACCCUCUAAGAAGACUGCCUCGGAUAACGGGGAGGAAGGUGGGGAUGACGUCAAGUCCGCAUGCUCCUUACGUCUAGGGCUACACACGUCCUACAAUGGGGUCGACAAUGGGAUGCAAUAUCGCAAGAUGGAGCCAAUCCCCAAACGGCCUCUCAGUUCGGAUUGUAGUCUGCAACUCGACUACAUGAAGUUGGAAUCGCUAGUAAUGGCAGAUCAGCAUGCUGCCGUGAAUACGUUCCCGGGCCUU
This 374-nucleotide ribosomal RNA is filed under the name uncultured bacterium. RNAcentral describes it as "bacterial SSU rRNA". It matches the Rfam family "Bacterial small subunit ribosomal RNA", at positions 1007 to 1382 of the family's 1533-position model. The record is from RNAcentral.